Long non-coding RNA from Schistocerca cancellata (South American locust), 1025 nucleotides. RefSeq lists it as uncharacterized. NCBI's taxonomy places the organism in Eukaryota, Metazoa, Arthropoda, Insecta, Orthoptera, Acrididae. The record is from RefSeq and is a predicted model, not a curated record. The transcript has 2 exons.
GACCGCGGAUCGAUGGCAGUUUAGAACUGGUCUCUCUUUCGGCGUGCGGAUAAUGUGUCUGCUAAUUUUCGUAGUUUCACCUAUUCUAAAGCUAGAUGACUGUCGCGCUAGACCAGUACCGUUUGCGGCGGAUAGGCGUGUAAUACCGGCUUUACAGUAUAGCUUGCUACCAGAGUUUAUGCGGACUUUGCAAAUGUAAGCAUUUAUGGUAUUUCUCUUCAACACUGCUUUUAACAUCGUCUGGAUUGUAUCUACGUAUGCAGAGAAACGGGCUGGUGAUCAGACGCAGUACUGAGGUACGAAAAAGGAGACAGAACUGGAUACGGUACUGAGAGAGAACCUGAUGUUGACACAAAGCCGGAUGCUGUACCCCAGUGAUGAGCCCUUAUGUGAUCCAGGUGUAAGUGUUUGUGAUCGGUACCCAUUUACUUCGUCUGUGAAAGUAGUUGGAAACCCCCAAUUUGUUGUAAGAACAAUGUUAAGUUUAGAGAUGACCCCCAAAUCGCCGUGUAAGGUGUAGGAAAGGACACCAUUCGUAGUGCCAGAGUUAUAUAUCGGUGAACUUUUGGACGCUACUUAAGCGACGAAAUAAAUUAUUGUUUUUGGUUAAAUAUUAUGUGUAAAAUGUAAAGUUUGAUUAGAAAAGAGGUUAUUGUUUCAAGAACUUAUGUAAAUUUUCCCUUUUAUGAAUGUUUUGAAAAUUUAAUUUGAGAUAAAAUGUUGUAGCAUUGGAGUGUGGGAGAAAAGAGUUGAAAAUUUUUUGUAUAAGAAUUUACUUUAUUUUUUCUUUAUUAGAAAUCCACUGAAAAAGGACCAAAUGUGAAACUUGUAUAUUGUCGAAGAGUAAUGACUGUAAAUCGCAUAACAACUCAGGUCGGACAUGAGUACGUUCCUGGCUGCCUUGUGUGUGUAUUGGGUUGUAUGAACUGUGAGCUGAGGACAGUGAUAUUAUUCAUUAAUUAAAUACGGGCUGUUGGCAAGUGUUUAAUUGUGAACCUAAAGAAAUAAAAGCACUUGUUGCAGAA